CCAGACUCCUACGGGAGGCAGCAGUGGGGAAUAUUGCGCAAUGGGCGAAAGCCUGACGCAGCGACGCCGCGUGAGGGAUGAAGGUCUUCGGAUCGUAAACCUCUGUCAGCAGGGAAGAACGGUCACUGUGCUAAUCAGCAGUGAAUUGACGGUACCUGCAAAGGAAGCACCGGCUAACUACGUGCCAGCAGCCGCGGUAAUACGUAGGGGGCAAGCGUUAUCCGGAUUUACUGGGUGUAAAGGGAGCGUAGACGGCAGUGCAAGUCUGGAGUGAAAGGCGGGGGCUCAACCCCCGGACUGCUCUGGAAACUGUACGGCUGGAGUGCAGGAGGGGCAGGCGGAAUUCCUGGUGUAGCGGUGAAAUGCGUAGAUAUCAGGAGGAACACCGGCGGCGAAGGCGGCCUGCUGGACCGUAACUGACGUUGAGGCUCGAAAGCGUGGGGAGCAAACAGGAUUAGAUACCCCCGUAA
This 470-nucleotide ribosomal RNA is filed under the name uncultured bacterium. RNAcentral's name for it is "bacterial SSU rRNA". It matches the Rfam family "Bacterial small subunit ribosomal RNA", at positions 331 to 793 of the family's 1533-position model. The record is from RNAcentral.